AUGCAGCCGAUGAGUUCUAAAUAGGAUGAAACGCUCGUUCUGGAU
Molecule: non-coding RNA, 45 nt
Filed under: Schistosoma margrebowiei
Lineage: Eukaryota; Metazoa; Platyhelminthes; Trematoda; Strigeidida; Schistosomatidae
Source: RNAcentral